Molecule: long non-coding RNA, 163 nt
Organism: Haliotis rubra (blacklip abalone)
Lineage: Eukaryota; Metazoa; Mollusca; Gastropoda; Lepetellida; Haliotidae
Exons: 3
Source: RefSeq, a predicted model, not a curated record
UUAUAAGUUGGUCACAGGCCCCUUCGGGCUCAUCUAACAUAUACAAACAUAAAGGGUACAUCAACUCAUGGGCCCAGAGGGACCAGUAAACAACGUGUUUAUCUUAACGAACACCUCAGUGUUAAUUUUGAACUGUUUGAAGAACGGUUAUGAAAUGGCAAUA